AAUAAGGAGGUGAAAUGCCCAAUCCUACAUUUAACUGCUGUAGCUGAACCCGUUGGAGAUCUCCCCACCGUUCUUGUCGGAAGACGAUGGAGCUUUUGGCGGCCCAGGCGGCGGUGAUGAUGUUUCUGUUAAGUAGUCUCAUCCUCUCCGCCGUGAAAUCCGCCGAAGACUUUGACGACGCCUCAAUCCUCCAACGAAAGUAACCUGUAGCUGGGCUUUGCGCUCAACUUAUCAAACCUUCUGGUUUCCCUUGCUCAGAACACAAAACACAAACAAAAGAUGGAUUCGUACAGGGACUUCAGCGUGUGUCAUCUAGCUCUGGAAAUCUCAGAAGACAAAGGGGUCCUCCAGUUCUGCUUAUUCGUGGACUUUUUAUGGCAGGUGAUGCAUGGUUCUUGGAUAACCCAAAUCAGUCCUUGGGGUUUAUCCUUGCAAAUCGUGGUUUUGAUGUCUGGGUUGGUAAUGUGAGUGGGACACGCUGGUGUCAUGGCCAUGUAUCUUUAUUAGAGAAAAAUAGGGUACUACUCCUUAUGCUUUGAAUACCUUUUUGAAUAAGAAUUCUUACCAUUUUAAAUAUAAUCAGAAGAUGGUUCCAACGAACAAAAAAGAAAGACUUUUAUGUUUAAAGGAUCAUUAUUCAUGGUACUUGCACAAAUCUUUAGCCAGCCUUGGCUACUAUAAGUUUCAGUUUAAGUAAACUCUCAUAUGAUGAUUCGUCGAUAUCCACAAUAUGCAUUCUUUUCACAGUGAUUGCUAAGUUAUUUUUCAAAUGAGAACAUGAAAAACUCGUAGAUGGGUUCAGUUUAUAUGGACAUUUAUCAACAAACGGCAUUGUUAAACUCAAAUCUGAGCCAGAGCAUGUGCAGCAAUAGCAGUUGAUGAAUUUGUUGCCUCUCAAACUUGCCGUGAUAAAAUGGUACUCAUGAUUUAAGAUUCAUAUUCUGAUGACGAAAGUAGGGGAGAAGAUUCAAAUGUCGACGACAAAUGAAGUGGACAGCGGUGGUCAGCGGCAUGGCGGUGCCGGUGCUUCUUCGUGUUUUUUUUCAAGAUCAUGACAACAUUAUUUUAGCCACCGAGACCGUUCAAUAUUUGGUAAGCUUUAAGGAAUUAGUUGGGGAAUUCUAGAAUGUUAAUUUUGUGGAUUUUAUCAGCUUCUUUUGCUGGAUUUGAAUCAAUCUUUGGUCAAUUUAGUGUCUGAAAGAUAGGAUUGCUUAUAUUUGUUUUCUUUAAUUUCAAACGGCAAAAGUAAUGUGGCGAAAUGGAAAUAUGGUAAAUAUGUAUAGUUAAAAAUAUUCACUGGAGUCUCAAUCUUCUGGCCAAGAAUAUAGCUCAAAAAGAUUCACUGGGAUCUCAAUCUUGUAGCCAACAAUCUUACUGUAAAUGAGAUAUGGGUUGAUGCAUUUUUAAAUCUACUUCACAUCUUAAUUAACAUCUCUUAAUCAUAAUGCUGCUUAUCUUUAUUAUGUUAACAACCACUUGGAUGAACAACAAGCACUGUGGCAAUAUUAUUUUGAUGUUAUAUUAUGGUAUCACUGGCUCAACCAUGAUAGAAAGGGCCUCAUCAACUGGAACUCGACAAUUGUAAUUGUAAGUAGUCAAGGCUUCAUUUGAAUGUGUUAUCAUGUUCUUCUUUCUAUAUAAUAUUAGAAUGAGUAGAAACUUGAAAAUAGUUUGCAUAAAGAAGUCAUCAAAUCGUUUAUUUAUUUCUUAAAUAGUACAGUUUUUUAUUUUAUUUUAUUUUAUUUUAUGGAGCUAUGCUUCAAUGGAUUCUAUGCACCUCGGGAACGAUAACACAUAGCUUCACUGUGAAGGAAGUGAUUAUAUUGAAUGUGGGGUCUUGAAGAAGUUCAAAGACAAGAUGUUUGAGUUCCAGGUAAAUUGGAUACACGAUAUAAUGGAAAGGUUUCAAUUUCUUCUUUCCAUUUCUCAAUAUCUCUUAAUAAUAUUUUUCUAUUGGGUUUAAGACAAAAUAUCCAUCAGGAGUAUCGUGAAGUUGUCAAGAGGUGUGUCUUCACAGGUUUUAACCCUUAUUAUAUGAAAUGAACCUGUGCAACUCUGUGUAAUAGCUUCCUUUCUCUCUAUUCAAUUAACAAUUUCUUUUUUCAUGAACCUCAGUAACUGGAAGUCAAGUUAAUGAAGAGACAAUUGAUAGAUUGUUCGGAACUGGGGAUAGUGAACAAAUUCUUAUGACAUUGUUGGAGAAAUGAAGUUUGAAUUCCUCAUUCUAGAAAAUGCCCGAUUGUGGGCUCACAUUUCACAACGGAGCAACUUGAAGUAUGUGAAGACGGUCAUGGAGACCUUCGACAAUUGACAGUGUGAGGACUUUCGAAACUCCUGCCUCGACUUCCUAGUCGAGGUGUCUGAAAUACAGUUCUCUGCACAGUUCAUCCAACAGUUGGUAUUCAAAUAUAUGAUUUAAGAGUCACAUGUUGGUAAUGUAGAGCUCCAUUACGACCCAGUGAAUGAAACACUGCAUGAGAUGUAUGUGGCUAUGGAGGAUUCGUGACUGAUUACGAGAAACACUUGUGGACAUUAGGGAAAAAAGUGCAAAAAUGUCCUUGCAAAAUUCGUGAUACAUGGAACAUGAGCUCCUUCAGAUGAGGCGUGCUGGCAUGCCAUGUAUGCAAGGUAGCCUGAAGCACGACAUUGCACUGUCGAGGGAGAAAAUGAACAGUUACAAAGCGUGCCGCGUCAGGACUACGGGCCCAUAUUGUUUCUUGGAAAGUGGGAUACUAUCGUUCAACCUUUUGGCUCAAGUCCAUUAUUAGAGGCCUGGCCGUUGGAUAGUAGUUGAAGAAAUUGUACCUUUGCAUCUGCCAAAGAUGUUGCCAAUAUUAUCUAUGUGCUAGAAGUUGGUCUACUGUUUCUUAGUUGAAUGUUGUAAUGCGAUAAUUGAAUAUCAGUAGUGUGGGAUUAGUGCAUAGCGAAUGCAUGGAUUUUGCAAAAAAUAAAUGGUUAUGUACACUAUAAUUUGUUUUGUAAUGAAGGUACAAACAUGUUGUG
Olea europaea var. sylvestris is the source of this 3003-nucleotide long non-coding RNA. RefSeq lists it as uncharacterized. The record is from RefSeq and is a predicted model, not a curated record. Lineage: Eukaryota; Viridiplantae; Streptophyta; Magnoliopsida; Lamiales; Oleaceae. The transcript is spliced from 6 exons.